Molecule: ribosomal RNA, 39 nt
Filed under: Sebacina sp. EMF54
Lineage: Eukaryota; Fungi; Basidiomycota; Agaricomycetes; Sebacinales; Sebacinaceae
Also listed under: 1 other name
Description: partial 28S ribosomal RNA
Source: RNAcentral
CUUGACCUCAAAUCGAGUAGGACUACCCGCUGAACUUAA